AUCCUUCUUAAUCCGUGCCGAGAUUUAGUCAAACACUAGACCAGCAAGACCGAUGAGACUUCCAAGAUAAGUGAAGCA
Schistosoma haematobium is the source of this 78-nucleotide non-coding RNA. The record is from Rfam. NCBI's taxonomy places the organism in Eukaryota, Metazoa, Platyhelminthes, Trematoda, Strigeidida, Schistosomatidae.